GCCGUCUUAGCUCAAUAGGUAGAGCGUUUCCGUGGUAAGGAAAAGAUCCUGGGUUCAAACCCCGGAAACGGCU
This 73-nucleotide transfer RNA is filed under the name Acetilactobacillus jinshanensis. It matches the Rfam family "tRNA". Rfam says of the family: Transfer RNA (tRNA) molecules are approximately 80 nucleotides in length. Their secondary structure includes four short double-helical elements and three loops (D, anti-codon, and T loops). Lineage: Bacteria; Bacillati; Bacillota; Bacilli; Lactobacillales; Lactobacillaceae. The record is from Rfam by way of RNAcentral. RNAcentral also lists the same sequence under 1 other name.